This 163-nucleotide ribosomal RNA is filed under the name uncultured bacterium. Its description in RNAcentral is "partial 16S ribosomal RNA". It matches the Rfam family "Bacterial small subunit ribosomal RNA", at positions 330 to 509 of the family's 1533-position model. The record is from RNAcentral.
AGCACGAUCCUACGGGAGACAGCAGUGGGGGAUAUUGCACAAUGGGGGAAACCCUGAUGCAGCGACGCCGCGUGUGGGAAGACGGUCCUCUGGAUUGUAAACCACUGUCCCCAGGGACGAAGAUGACGGUACCUGGGGAGGAAGCUCCGGCUAACUACGUGCC